This 749-nucleotide ribosomal RNA is filed under the name uncultured bacterium. Its description in RNAcentral is "bacterial SSU rRNA". It matches the Rfam family "Bacterial small subunit ribosomal RNA", at positions 44 to 792 of the family's 1533-position model. The record is from RNAcentral.
GGGCCAGCCUACAUGCAGUUCGACGGGGUGGACGGGGGAGGAAGGCUUCGGCCGGAAAACCUGUGCAUGAGUGGCGGACGGGUGAGUAACGCGUGGGCAACCUGGCCUGUACAGGGGGAUAACACUUAGAAAUAGGUGCUAAUACCGCAUAACGGGGGAAGCCGCAUGGCUUUUCCCUGAAAACUCCGGUGGUACAGGAUGGGCCCGCGUCUGAUUAGCCAGUUGGCAGGGUAACGGCCUACCAAAGCGACGAUCAGUAGCCGGCCUGAGAGGGCGGACGGCCACACUGGGACUGAGACACGGCCCAGACUCCUACGGGAGGCAGCAGUGGGGGAUAUUGCACAAUGGGGGGAACCCUGAUGCAGCGACGCCGCGUGGGUGAAGAAGCGCCUCGGCGCGUAAAGCCCUGUCAGCAGGGAAGAAAAUGACGGUACCUGAAGAAGAAGCCCCGGCUAACUACGUGCCAGCAGCCGCGGUAAUACGUAGGGGGCAAGCGUUAUCCGGAUUUACUGGGUGUAAAGGGGGCGCAGACGGCGAUGCAAGCCAGGAGUGAAGGCCCGGGGCCCAACCCCGGGACUGCUCUUGGAACUGCGUGGCUGGAGUGCAGGAGGGGCAGGCGGAAUUCCUGGUGUGGCGGUGAAAUGCGUAGAUAUAUGGAAGACCACCAAUGGCCGAAGGCGGCUGCCUGGCCUGUUGCUGAAGUUGAAGCANGAACCCGUGGGNAGCAAAUANGAUNAAAUACCCUANUA